AUUUUAUUUAUUAUUUUUUUUUUUUGUGCUUAUCACUCUAAAAUGCUCAAUCCAAAUGAGUGAUUUGACGACAAAUCAUAGCCCUUUCCUUUCUUUUCUCAUGAAACCCCUCCAUCCAAAGGGGGCUGUAAUUCUAUCCUCCUUUCCUGCUACUUGGUUAGCAUGUGCCACUGCUAACUCCUUUUGCACCUGCUAAUGAACUCCUAUUCCUGGAACUCCUCUUUAUUAACCACAUUUCUUGCUUCUGCAUGAGUCAUGGUCACUGCUCCUGCACCUCCAACUACAAGAGGAACUUCCGCAUCUCUAUUUCUCAUAAUAUUGCAACCACAACAGACUCAAGACGGAGGAGGCUCAGCGUUUCUUAUUUCUUUGAUUUGUGAAAGGUUGCUGAAACAUUAGCAAGUUGGUUUCUCACUUGUCAUUUUCUGGUAAUAUCUUUAUAUAAAGGAAUUCUGUCCUCUCUCUUUUACUUUCUUUGUUCUGGCUAGGUAAUCACCGAUGUAGUUAGAUAAAAAAUGAUAUAGUCUGCUGUUGAUGCAAUCUUGUGUUACCUUGUUUAUUAGAUCACUGCCUAAUCCUAUACAAACAAGACAAGCACUGUAGUAGUCUGAUGACUCUCAUUGUGGAGUAGUCAUCUUAUGAAACUUCCCCCACGUCGCUUCUUUUUUUCUCUCCUUUAAUGCAAAAGAAAGUGAAAUAUGAUAUUUCUGGGAAUUUUAGUCUUUUCUGACCAACUUGGCAUGGGGUCCAUAUGUUGUUAUUCACUGAAAUUCGACAGGAUUCGGUUGCUGGUGGUAUGGCAUAAACUUUGGCUUUGGUGAUUGUAAGUCUUGAUCUCCCAUCCUUCCUCAUGCAUCUUCUCUGGUCUUAAUUACACCAUGAACAGUUUCUGCGUUACUUACUAGCCACUUGAAUGAUCAGGACUUACCUGAUUCAACAUACCAAAUGCCAGAACCAUUUCAGAUUGUCAUCCAUCUCUCUCUCUCUCUCUCUCUCUCUCUCUCUCUCUCUCUCUCUCUCUGUGUGUGAGCACAUACUUGCAGGCGGAAAACCAUCCUUAGGGGUGGGAGAGUGGCUCUACAAGUAUCGAAUUGUUGUUAGAUUUAUACCAUUCCUUUUGCAUUUGUAAGAUAAACACAGCGAAAAUUGACAAGCUGUUUUUCUUCUAUUGUGUUCGUCAGAAAGAGAAGAUUUCACAAACAUUACGGCUGAUUUUAUUAUUUUAUAAGAACCACGUGUUGCAAAGGUAAGAGUAACAUCUGGAUUCUUACAAUCUAGACAGUUUUUACACGGAUACCUCUAAGAAUCAAGGAUGUGAUAAGGAAAAUAAAUUGGAAAAAAUGGAAGGAUCUAACCAUUGUGAGCGGUUAACUUGUCUAUUUCCUUACCCAAGUUCUUGUUCCAGUUCCAAAUAUAGCCUAAAGAGGUUUGAUAGGGUCCGUGACAACUAUUCAUGAAAUUGUCAUGGAUAACAUUUUCGCAGCCGAAAUGUUCUUUCAGUUUCUCAUAAGCCCAGCAAU
Long non-coding RNA from Rhododendron vialii, 1520 nucleotides. RefSeq lists it as uncharacterized. The transcript has 2 exons. The record is from RefSeq and is a predicted model, not a curated record. NCBI's taxonomy places the organism in Eukaryota, Viridiplantae, Streptophyta, Magnoliopsida, Ericales, Ericaceae.